GGAGAGGUGGCUGAGCGGCUGAAAGCGGCGGUCUCGAAAACCGUUUGUCCGGCAACCCCGGGCACGGGGGUUCAAAUCCCCCUCUCUCCGCCA
RNAcentral lists this transfer RNA (93 nucleotides) under Coriobacteriia bacterium. RNAcentral's name for it is "tRNA-Ser". It matches the Rfam family "tRNA". From Rfam's summary of the family: Transfer RNA (tRNA) molecules are approximately 80 nucleotides in length. Their secondary structure includes four short double-helical elements and three loops (D, anti-codon, and T loops). Further hydrogen bonds mediate the characteristic L-shaped molecular structure. tRNAs have two regions of fundamental functional importance: the anti-codon, which is responsible for specific mRNA codon recognition, and the 3' end, to which the tRNAs corresponding amino acid is attached (by aminoacyl-tRNA synthetases). tRNAs cope with the degeneracy of the genetic code in two manners: having more than one tRNA (with a specific anti-codon) for a particular amino acid; and 'wobble' base-pairing, i.e. permitting non-standard base-pairing at the 3rd anti-codon position. Lineage: Bacteria; Bacillati; Actinomycetota; Coriobacteriia. The record is from RNAcentral.